UCUCCCCUGCAAUGUUUGUGCUUUAGUAGGGUUUUUAGAACCAACAUUCUAAAACAGGGGCUUUCCCUGACUAGCGGCCGGCAUGUCCCCCAGCGGGAACGUCGAAAGCAAGUAAACUAAGGCCCCACCUGUUUCGACAGGUUCAAAAUACUACUGACACGGCAUAUCGCGGGGGAGGA
RNAcentral lists this non-coding RNA (179 nucleotides) under Deltaproteobacteria bacterium GWB2_55_19. Its description in RNAcentral is "6S RNA". It matches the Rfam family "6S / SsrS RNA". Rfam says of the family: E. coli 6S RNA was the first non coding RNA to be sequenced, but its function was unknown until recently. RNAcentral also lists the same sequence under 1 other name. Lineage: Bacteria; Deltaproteobacteria. The record is from RNAcentral.